Arachis ipaensis is the source of this 1187-nucleotide non-coding RNA. The record is from RefSeq and is a predicted model, not a curated record. NCBI's taxonomy places the organism in Eukaryota, Viridiplantae, Streptophyta, Magnoliopsida, Fabales, Fabaceae.
UUUGCUUCUCUGACUUGUUAAUAAUUGAGAAUCUACUCGUUGCCAAAUUCAAUUGAUCCUCAGAAUCCGAAAUUGGAAGUUUUCUAGGGUUUUAACAGAACAAAACAGAGAAGAUGUUACACCUUCUAUAUGGAGUGAUAUUGGGAGAGGCAAUUGUGAUACUGAGCUUUCUGUUCAAGUCCCCACUGAGGAAGGUUGUUAUCGUCACCCUUGAUCGUCUCAAGCGCGGUAGGGGUCCCGUUGUUGUGAAGACGGUGGCGGGUACCGUGGCUGUGGUGCUAGCCUCCUCUCUCUACAGCAUAUCUGAGAUCAGGAGCCGCAUGUUUGAUCUUGAAGCUGGCGUCAUCAACCCCACCGACCAAGUCCUCUUGUCAAAACACAUUCUAGAAGCUUCUCUCAUGGGGUUUGUGCUGUUCCUCGCUCUAAUGAUAGACAGAUUGCACCAUUACAUUCGAGAGCUUCGUGUACUUAGGAAGGCCAUGGAGGCUGCAAAGAAACAGAAUCGGAGUUUUGAGGAAGGUAAAACUGCCCGUGCAGAGGAACAAAAGGCAUUGAUGGAAGAAAUUGCCACAAUGAGACUCGAAGUAAAGCAAUUGGAAUCCGAAUGCGAGGCGAAAAGAAGCAGGGUGAAGGCCUUGGAAGGUGAGGUAGUGGCUCUUAAGAAGCAAUCUGAGGGUCUACUUUUGGAAUAUGAUCGCCUCUUGGAAGAUAAUCAGAAUAUUCGGAGUCAGUUGGAAGGUACUUCUUCCCAUGUUGAUAACAAAAAGAGCAUGUGAAUGUGAAUGUCCAAAUAUGAAUGCCGCAAAGCAAUUUUUCUCCUUUUGAUUUGGCUGCUUCCUUUUGUAAGGUGCAUGCUAUUUAUAUAGGGAACUAGAAUACUUGAGUACAGUAUAAAUGUAUUCAAAAUUUUGUUUAUAAAUCAUGGUAUGUCAUGCGUUUUUUAACAUUAAAGGAAGUAUAUUGUGAAAACGAAUGGAGACUAGUCUGCAAUUUACAAUUCUUUCCUCUAGUAAUAGUAAUUCAUAAGAGUCUUUUGUCUGUUUGUAACUCUGGUUUCAAAAACAGAAAAACAAAUGUGAAGCAGCAUAGUUAAAAUAUUGUGCCUAAUAGAUAGGGUGAUUAAAAACUAUUCUAGUUCAAUUCUAACUCAUAUUGAACUGGUUUUGAAAAGUUAAAAUUCAUGCUAA